This 497-nucleotide ribosomal RNA is filed under the name uncultured bacterium. Its description in RNAcentral is "partial 16S ribosomal RNA". It matches the Rfam family "Bacterial small subunit ribosomal RNA", at positions 28 to 507 of the family's 1533-position model. The record is from RNAcentral.
GAUGAACGCUGGCGGCGUGCCUAAUACAUGCAAGUCGAGCGAACAGACGAGGAGCUUGCUCCUCUGACGUUAGCGGCGGACGGGUGAGUAACACGUGGAUAACCUACCUAUAAGACUGGGAUAACUUCGGGAAACCGGAGCUAAUACCGGAUAAUAUAUUGAACCGCAUGGUUCAAUAGUGAAAGACGGUUUUGCUGUCACUUAUAGAUGGAUCCGCGCCGCAUUAGCUAGUUGGUAAGGUAACGGCUUACCAAGGCGACGAUGCGUAGCCGACCUGAGAGGGUGAUCGGCCACACUGGAACUGAGACACGGUCCAGACUCCUACGGGAGGCAGCAGUAGGGAAUCUUCCGCAAUGGGCGAAAGCUUGGCGGAGCAACGCCGCGUGAGUGAUGAAGGUCUUCGGCUCGUAAAACUCUGUUAUUAGGGAAGAACAAAUGUGUAAGUAACUAUGCACGUCUUGACGGUACCUAAUCAGAAAGCCACGGCUAACUACGUG